AUUGAACGCUGGCGGAAUGCUUUACACAUGCAAGUCGAACGGCAGCACGGACUUCGGUCUGGUGGCGAGUGGCGAACGGGUGAGUAAUGUAUCGGAACGUGCCCAGUCGUGGGGGAUAACGUAGUGAAAAUUACGCUAAUACCGCAUACGAUCUAUGGAUGAAAGCGGGGGAUCGCAAGACCUCGCGCGAUUGGAGCGGCCGAUAUCAGAUUAGGUAGUUGGUGGGGUAAAGGCCCACCAAGCCAACGAUCUGUAGCUGGUCUGAGAGGACGACCAGCCACACUGGAACUGAGACACGGUCCAGACUCCUACGGGAGGCAGCAGUGGGGAAUUUUGGACAAUGGGCGAAAGCCUGAUCCAGCAAUUCCGCGUGCAGGAUGAAGGCCCUCGGGUUGUAAACUGCUUUUGUACAGAACGAAAAGGUUUCUACUAAUACUAGGAGCUCAUGAAGGUACUGUAAGAAUAAGCACCGGCUAACUACGUGCCAGCAGCCGCCGUAA
RNAcentral lists this ribosomal RNA (500 nucleotides) under uncultured bacterium. Its description in RNAcentral is "partial 16S ribosomal RNA". It matches the Rfam family "Bacterial small subunit ribosomal RNA", at positions 30 to 523 of the family's 1533-position model. The record is from RNAcentral.